GCAAUGGGCAAGGCGCCUGAUCCAGCCAGAUAGUAAGAGUGUGAUUAACACUCAAAAGAAAAAACAAAACAAUGAUAGAAGUUUUCAUUAUAUCCUGACUAAUUUCGUGCCAGCAGUCGCGGCAAUACGUGAAGGAUAAGCGUAAUUCAUCAUCACUAGGUAUCAAGCGUCUGUAGGCGGCGUAUCGAAUGUAAGCUAGAGUCUGACUAGGAAAUUGGAAUUUAAUAAGUAAGGAUAAAAUCUUUUGAUUUAUUAAAGAAUUUUAUGCGAAGGCAUAUUUCUCUGAACGACUGACGCUAAGAGACUAAAGUGUGGGUAGCGAAAAGGA
RNAcentral lists this ribosomal RNA (328 nucleotides) under Zoophthora anglica. Its description in RNAcentral is "SSU rRNA". It matches the Rfam family "Bacterial small subunit ribosomal RNA", at positions 368 to 777 of the family's 1533-position model. The record is from RNAcentral. Lineage: Eukaryota; Fungi; Entomophthoromycota; Entomophthoromycetes; Entomophthorales; Entomophthoraceae.